Long non-coding RNA from Beta vulgaris subsp. vulgaris (sugar beet), 569 nucleotides. RefSeq lists it as uncharacterized. The transcript has 2 exons. The record is from RefSeq and is a predicted model, not a curated record. NCBI's taxonomy places the organism in Eukaryota, Viridiplantae, Streptophyta, Magnoliopsida, Caryophyllales, Amaranthaceae.
ACUCUCUCUCGUGGCUUUAUAUGGAAAUGCCACAUUAGUGUUUUGUUGUCAAAACCUUGUCUCAUUUUAAUAAAAAGAAUAGAAGAAGCCCAAAAGCCCCAAUUUUUCUCUCACUAUUAGUCAUCCUUCUUCUGCUUCUCUCACCACUAUUCUCACACCUCUUUCUCAUCUGUCUCUCCGGCGCCGUCGCUGCUGUCCAAGGGUGUCGGUUGCCAUUUUUCUCUUUCCUCUGCUUCAUUUAAAAUAUGGUGAGUUGAUGUCAUUGAUGUGCUGUUCUGCUGUUGCUAUUGCUGGUUGUUGUUAAUGGCGGUUCAUCGCCGGAAAUGGCAGCCACAUGCUGCUCCUUUUGUGUAUGUAUUCUGGUGCUCCUAUUUCAUUCUUUCUACUAUUUAGUAUAUUAGUGAAGGUACAAAGUUAUAAUCUUUACUUCAGAUUUAUUAUUGUUGGAUUACACUAGAAAAUUCAGUUCUAAAUUUUACAAUGGGAUUGAAAAAUUAGUUGUGAUAAGGAUUUGUAGAAUUUAAAGAUUGGUUUUUUCCUCUUUAUUUAAUCAAUUGAAAGUUAAGAUA